This 1519-nucleotide ribosomal RNA is filed under the name Salmonella enterica subsp. enterica serovar Derby. RNAcentral's name for it is "bacterial SSU rRNA". It matches the Rfam family "Bacterial small subunit ribosomal RNA". Lineage: Bacteria; Pseudomonadati; Pseudomonadota; Gammaproteobacteria; Enterobacterales; Enterobacteriaceae. The record is from RNAcentral.
AAAUUGAAGAGUUUGAUCAUGGCUCAGAUUGAACGCUGGCGGCAGGCCUAACACAUGCAAGUCGAACGGUAACAGGAAGCAGCUUGCUGCUUUGCUGACGAGUGGCGGACGGGUGAGUAAUGUCUGGGAAACUGCCUGAUGGAGGGGGAUAACUACUGGAAACGGUGGCUAAUACCGCAUAACGUCGCAAGACCAAAGAGGGGGACCUUCGGGCCUCUUGCCAUCAGAUGUGCCCAGAUGGGAUUAGCUUGUUGGUGAGGUAACGGCUCACCAAGGCGACGAUCCCUAGCUGGUCUGAGAGGAUGACCAGCCACACUGGAACUGAGACACGGUCCAGACUCCUACGGGAGGCAGCAGUGGGGAAUAUUGCACAAUGGGCGCAAGCCUGAUGCAGCCAUGCCGCGUGUAUGAAGAAGGCCUUCGGUUGUAAAGUACUUUCAGCGGGAGGAAGGUGUUGUGGUUAAUAACCGCAGCAAUUGACGUUACCCGCAGAAGAAGCACCGGCUAACUCCGUGCCAGCAGCCGCGGUAAUACGGAGGGUGCAAGCGUUAAUCGGAAUUACUGGGCGUAAAGCGCACGCAGGCGGUCUGUCAAGUCGGAUGUGAAAUCCCCGGGCUCAACCUGGGAACUGCAUUCGAAACUGGCAGGCUUUGUAGAGGUAGAAUUCGUAGCGGUGAAAUGCGUAGAGAUCUGGAGGAAUACCGGUGGCGAAGGCGGCCCUGACAAAGACUGACGCUCAGGUGCGAAAGCGUGGAGCAAACAGGAUUAGAUACCCGGUAGUCCACGCCGUAAACGAUGUCUACUUGGAGGUUGUGCCCUUGAGGCGUUUCCGGAGCUAACGCGUUAGACCGCCCGAGUACGGCCGCAAGGUUAAAACUCAAAUGAAUUGACGGGGGCCCGCACAAGCGGUGGAGCAUGUGGUUUAAUUCGAUGCAACGCGAAGAACCUUACCUGGUCUUGACAUCCACAGAACUUUCCAGAGAUGGACUGGUGCCUUCGGGAACUGUGAGACAGGUGCUGCAUGGCUGUCGUCAGCUCGUGUUGUGAAAUGUUGGGUUAAGUCCCGCAACGAGCGCAACCCUUAUCCUUUGUUGCCAGCGAUUAGGUCGGGAACUCAAAGGAGACUGCCAGUGAUAAACUGGAGGAAGGUGGGGAUGACGUCAAGUCAUCAUGGCCCUUACGACCAGGGCUACACACGUGCUACAAUGGCGCAUACAAAGAGAAGCGACCUCGCGAGAGCAAGCGGACCUCAUAAAGUGCGUCGUAGUCCGGAUUGGAGUCUGCAACUCGACUCCAUGAAGUCGGAAUCGCUAGUAAUCGUGGAUCAGAAUGCCACGGUGAAUACGUUCCCGGGCCUUGUACACACCGCCCGUCACACCAUGGGAGUGGGUUACAAAAGAAGUAGGUAGCUUAACCUUCGGGAGGGCGCUUACCACUUUGUGAUUCAUGACUGGGGUGAAGUCGUAACAAGGUAACCGUAGGGGAACCUGCGGUUGGAUCACCUCCUUACCUUAAAGAA